Molecule: ribosomal RNA, 183 nt
Filed under: uncultured bacterium
Lineage: Bacteria
Description: partial 16S ribosomal RNA
Rfam family: Bacterial small subunit ribosomal RNA
Source: RNAcentral
UGCAUGAAGUCGGAAUCGCUAGUAAUCGCGAGUCAGCAUAUCGCGGUGAAUACGUUCCCGGGUCUUGUACACACCGCCCGUCACACCAUGGGAGUUGGCAACACCCGAAGUCGAUGAGCUAACCUUUAGGAGGCAGUCGCCUAAGGUGGGGUUGAUAACUGGGUGAAGUCGUAACAAGGUACC